UCAAACACGAGGCCAUUGUUUCGGCAUAUCACGUUGGCAUAGUUCCCAUUUGUUACCAAGGGUGAGGUCAUGCGGGAAUGUAUAUGGUCAGCCUGGACUUCUUCUCUCCCAAAGCCCAGUCAAUGAGGCCGUGGUCUCCUUAUGGAGGAAAGCAGCAACAUAGCCAGAAAAAUAUUUUGGGAAGGGUUCUCUAGGAACUUUACAUGGCCUCUUCUGCAGCACACUAAGCGUUUCCAGUCACGGAUGUUUGUGAGGUUCGUGCGUGCAAGAACACUUCAAUGCCGAAGCAAUCGCUCAAGUCCCGCGCUUUAAGUGUGAAGGAUAAGCUCCCAAAGUGCCAUUCAAUUAUACUAACUAUGAGGAUGGCGUAGACACAGAGACUUGCCAUGCCUCACAGCCACGGAAUCCGUGCGGGCGUUCGAUGUCGUCCAACUUUGUUCGUGGAGAUUGCAAACCUCGGUGCAUCAGAAUAAAAUAAAGGAUUGUGCUCCUGCUUUCGCAAAACGUC
Long non-coding RNA from Ornithodoros turicata, 508 nucleotides. RefSeq lists it as uncharacterized. The transcript is spliced from 2 exons. NCBI's taxonomy places the organism in Eukaryota, Metazoa, Arthropoda, Arachnida, Ixodida, Argasidae. The record is from RefSeq and is a predicted model, not a curated record.